UGGGGAAUGGUGCAAUGGCAGCACACCUGACUCUGGAUCAGGCGAUCGGGGUUCGAGUCCCUGUUCCCCAGCCA
This 74-nucleotide transfer RNA is filed under the name Fretibacterium sp. RNAcentral's name for it is "tRNA-Gln". It matches the Rfam family "tRNA". From Rfam's summary of the family: Transfer RNA (tRNA) molecules are approximately 80 nucleotides in length. The record is from RNAcentral. Lineage: Bacteria; Thermotogati; Synergistota; Synergistia; Synergistales; Aminobacteriaceae.